UACGUAGGGUGCAAGCGUUGUCCGGAAUUGUUGGGCGUAAAGAGCUCGUAGGCGGUCUGUUGCGUCGGCUGUGAAAACCCGAGGCUCAACCUCGGGCCUGCAGCCGAUACGGGCAGACUAGAGUGUGGUAGGGGAGACUGGAAUUCCUGGUGUAGCGGUGAAAUGCGCAGAUAUCAGGAGGAACACCGAUGGCGAAGGCAGGUCUCUGGGCCAUAACUGACGCUGAGAAGCGAAAGCAUGGGGAGCGAACAGG
RNAcentral lists this ribosomal RNA (253 nucleotides) under uncultured bacterium. RNAcentral describes it as "partial 16S ribosomal RNA". It matches the Rfam family "Bacterial small subunit ribosomal RNA", at positions 524 to 776 of the family's 1533-position model. The record is from RNAcentral.